RNAcentral lists this long non-coding RNA (1812 nucleotides) under Salmo salar (Atlantic salmon). RNAcentral's name for it is "lncRNA (ENSSSAG00000118769.1)". The record is from RNAcentral. Lineage: Eukaryota; Metazoa; Chordata; Actinopteri; Salmoniformes; Salmonidae.
UUUUAGCACUCACUAAAGUCCUCUACUAUAACUCAGGAGAAGAAGAUAGACUUUUAGCACUCACUAAAGUGCUCUACUAUAACUCAGGAGGAGAAGAUAGACUUUUAGCACUCACUAAAGUGCUCUACUAUAACUCUGGAGAAGAUAGACUUUUAGCACUCACUAAGUCCUCUACUAUAACUCAGGAGAAGAUAGACACUCACUAAAGUCCUCUACUAUAACUCAGGAGAAGAUAGACACUCACUAAAGUCCUCUACUAUAACUCAGGAGAAGAUAGACUUUUAGCACUCACUAAAGUCCUCUACUAUAACUCUGGAGAAAAUAGACUUUUAGUACUCACUAAAGUCCUCUACUAUAACUCUGGAGAAGAUAGACUUUUAGCACUCACUAAAGUCCUCUACUCCAAAGCCUCCAUUUUGGGUCUGUGUGUGUCUCUGUGUGGCUUCUAGAGGAAGUGGUGCUCCAGCAAACUAGUUUCCUGCAGCCCCCCCUGAACACACACAGCGAGAAGAGGGGGAAAGCAACACACACACAACACACACAAAAAAAAGGAAACCAGCCCAUAGAAGACAGAACAGUGGAUGGACCAGCGAGAGACAGACAGUGAAGAGGAAGGAGUAUAAGAUAAAGAGGGCUGGUCAACAGCGUCAGAACAUAUCAAAUCCAGGCAGACUCCUCCUCCUUGGCCUGCCAAUCUGAACGAAACGUCCCCACUACACACACACACACACACACACACACACUGCUCCGAGCAUCUUCAGAGAUGCCAACAGGGUCCCAGCCAGCUGCCAGCCCCUCUCCCAGCCUGCCCCUGUGUGCCCGGCCCUGAGCCCUGACCACAAGCUGACCCCGUGGCUGUAGGAGCCCCACCCCCCAGUGCAGCUGUCCUCCACACAGCCAGGCGGCGCCCUGACCCGGACAGGCAGCGCUACUAACAGGUAAUACAAUGUAGAUUUAGAUUACUGUAAACGUACCUUGACUACAUCUGAAAUGGAUCUCUGUUUAGUCCCCUAACUGUUAUAAACAUUACCUCACCUGGACUACAUCUGGAUCUCUGUUUAGUCCACUAACUGUCAACACUAAGGUCCUCUAUGCCUCAGUGGGUUAGUACUGUCAACACUAAGGUCCUCUAUGGCUCAGUAGGUUAGUACUGUCAACACUAAGGUCCUCUAUGGCUCAGUAGGUUAGUACUGUCAACACUAAGGUCCUCUAUGGCUCAGUAGGUUAGUACUGUCAACACUAAGGUCCUCUAUGGCUCAGUAAGUUAGUACUGGCAACACUAAGGUCCUCUAUCAGUAGGUUAGUACUGUCAACACUAAGGUCCUCUAUGGCUCAGGAUGGUGGUCUGUUUGAAACAUGUUGGUAUUACAGACUCGGUCAGCGAGUGGUUUGAAAAUGUCAGUGAAGACCAGUUUGCCAGUUUGUCCGCGCAAACUCUGAGUCCACGUUCCUGGUAAUCCGUCUGGCCCUGCGUCCUUGGGAAUGUUGACCUGUUUAAAAGUGUUGCUCACGUCGGCUACAGAGAGCGUGAUCACACAGUCAUCCGGAACAGCUUGUGCUCUCAUGCAUGCUUCAGUGUUGCUUGCCUCGAGGCGAACAUCAAAGGCAUUUAGCUCGUCUGGUAGGAUCGAUUCACUGGGCAGCUCGCGGCCGGGUCUCCCUUCGUCGUCCGUAAUAAUUUGCAAGCCCCCUGCCUCAUCCGACGAGCGUCAGAGACGAUUUCUUAUAAGCGUCCGGAUUAGUGUCGCGCUCCUUGAAAGCGGCAGCUCCUAGCCUUUAGCUCGACAGUAGUAGUGUCUGGGGGUGGUGGUA